Molecule: ribosomal RNA, 253 nt
Filed under: uncultured bacterium
Lineage: Bacteria
Description: partial 16S ribosomal RNA
Rfam family: Bacterial small subunit ribosomal RNA
Source: RNAcentral
UACGAAGGGGGCUAGCGUUGCUCGGAAUCACUGGGCGUAAAGCGCACGUAGGCGGCUUUUUAAGUCAGGGGUGAAAUCCUGGAGCUCAACUCCAGAACUGCCUUUGAUACUGAGAAGCUUGAGUCCGGGAGAGGUGAGUGGAACGGCGAGUGUAGAGGUGAAAUUCGUAGAUAUUCGCAAGAACACCAGUGGCGAAGGCGGCUCACUGGCCCGGUACUGACGCUGAGGUGCGAAAGCGUGGGGAGCAAACAGG